This 497-nucleotide ribosomal RNA is filed under the name uncultured bacterium. Its description in RNAcentral is "partial 16S ribosomal RNA". It matches the Rfam family "Bacterial small subunit ribosomal RNA", at positions 28 to 507 of the family's 1533-position model. The record is from RNAcentral.
GACGAACGCUGGCGGCGUGCCUAAUACAUGCAAGUUGAGCGCUGAAGGUUGGUACUUGUACCAACUGGAUGAGCAGCGAACGGGUGAGUAACGCGUGGGGAAUCUGCCUUUGAGCGGGGGACAACAUUUGGAAACGAAUGCUAAUACCGCAUAAAAACUUUAAACACAAGUUUUAAGUUUGAAAGAUGCAAUUGCAUCACUCAAAGAUGAUCCCGCGUUGCAUUAGCUAGUUGGUGAGGUAAAGGCUCACCAAGGCGAUGAUACAUAGCCGACCUGAGAGGGUGAUCGGCCACAUUGGGACUGAGACACGGCCCAAACUCCUACGGGAGGCAGCAGUAGGGAAUCUUCGGCAAUGGACGAAAGUCUGACCGAGCAACGCCGCGUGAGUGAAGAAGGUUUUCGGAUCGUAAAACUCUGUUGGUAGAGAAGAACGUUGGUGAGAGUGGAAAGCUCAUCAAGUGACGGUAACUACCCAGAAAGGGACGGCUAACUACGUG